AGCGAACGCUGGCGGCAGGCUUAACACAUGCAAGUCGAGCGCCCGUAGCAAUACGGGAGCGGCAGACGGGUGAGUAACACGUGGGAACGUGCCCUUUGGUUCGGAAUAACUCAGGGAAACUUGAGCUAAUACCGGAUAAGUCCGUAAGGAGAAAGAUUUAUCGCCGAAGGAGCGGCCCGCGUCCGAUUAGCUAGUUGGUGAGGUAAUGGCUCACCAAGGCUACGAUCGGUAGCUGGUCUGAGAGGAUGACCAGCCACACUGGGACUGAGACAUGGCCCAGACUCCUACGGGAGGCAGCAGUGGGGAAUAUUGGACAAUGGGGGCAACCCUGAUCCAGCCAUGCCGCGUGGAUGAUGAAGGCCUUAGGGUUGUAAAGUCCUUUUAACGGGGAAGAUAAUGACGGUACCCGUAGAAUAAGCCCCGGCUAACUUCGUGCCAGCCGCCGCUGUAA
Molecule: ribosomal RNA, 451 nt
Filed under: uncultured bacterium
Lineage: Bacteria
Description: partial 16S ribosomal RNA
Rfam family: Bacterial small subunit ribosomal RNA
Source: RNAcentral